Long non-coding RNA from Ornithorhynchus anatinus (platypus), 165 nucleotides. RefSeq lists it as uncharacterized. The record is from RefSeq and is a predicted model, not a curated record. The transcript has 3 exons. NCBI's taxonomy places the organism in Eukaryota, Metazoa, Chordata, Mammalia, Monotremata, Ornithorhynchidae.
GGUGGAGAGGAAAGGGUGGAUCUUGAUGAUAUUAUAAAGAAUACCCAGUGGCCCAUUGACAAAGGAAUGAAGACCAAUGAACUGUCUUGCCAACUUUUCUGAAACCCAUAAGGAAUUAAUAGGCAUCCUACAAAAGGUCUUAGAACGCUAAUUCUGAAACAAGGU